UACGGAGGGUGCAAACGUUGCUCGGAAUCAUUGGGCGUAAAGCGCACGUAGGCGGUUCAGUAUGUCGGGUGUGAAAGCCCUCGGCUUAACCGAGGAAGUGCAUUCGAAACUGCUGGACUUGAAUACUGGAGAGGAUCGCGGAAUUCCCGGUGUAGAGGUGAAAUUCGUAGAUAUCGGGAGGAACACCUGUGGCGAAAGCGGCGCACUGGACCACAACUGACGCUGAGGCGCGAAAGCUAGGGGAGCAAACAGG
Molecule: ribosomal RNA, 253 nt
Filed under: uncultured bacterium
Lineage: Bacteria
Description: partial 16S ribosomal RNA
Rfam family: Bacterial small subunit ribosomal RNA
Source: RNAcentral